RNA transcript from Capsella rubella, 2191 nucleotides. It is a transcript of the gene named protein MLN51 homolog, with no coding region annotated. The transcript has 10 exons. The record is from RefSeq and is a predicted model, not a curated record. NCBI's taxonomy places the organism in Eukaryota, Viridiplantae, Streptophyta, Magnoliopsida, Brassicales, Brassicaceae.
GAUCUCUCAUGAAACCCUGAUUGGAUUGGAUUGGAUUGGAUUGGAUUGGAUUGGAUUGAGUGACUCUUUCUCUCUCUCGAGAGAGAGAGUGGUUUCGUCAAUUCUUAGGUGGCUUUCUCGCUCAUUCGUUUUCCACUGAUUUCUCUCUUCUAUAUCUUUCCUCUUUAGGGUUGGUUUUUUGGUUUGCCUCUCCGAAUCUGCGGGUCCAGGUCUCUUAUGGCCCCAGAUGUCGUUGAAGAUCCCGACUAUGACAGUGAUCCCGAGGAAUUGAACCGCUCCUUGGCAACACGGAGGCGACAAGCUAGCGAUGAUGAGGAUGACAACCUCGCCGGAAACCUUACUCAUUCCGAUGACCAGACUGGUAUUCUGGACUCUGAUAUCGACGACCACGCCCUGCCAGAGGAUGACCACGAUUCUGAAGAUCUUGAGGAACAAAAGAAGAAGGAACCUUUCGCAGUGCCUACUGCUGGUGCCUUUUAUAUGCAUGAUGACAGAUUUCAGCCAUUGGAUACCGCCUCUAAUAGGCGAAUGCGUGGUGGCAGGAGGCUCUGGCAAUCCAGAGAUGAAAGAAAGUGGGGACAUGACAAAUACGAGCAAGUCAAUACACACGAAAAACAAUAUGAUCGGAGGACUUCGAGAGGCCGAGUCAGAGGUCGUGGUCAGGGUAGGGGCCAGGAGCGUGGAUAUUCUCGAGGGACCAAUUCUAAAGCACUUACUGGCAAUGGACACCAUAAUCAGUUUCCUAAAGCUGUCACUAGAGAUAGAGGUCCCAAAAGAUAUGAGGUUGCUUUGAGAAAUGGCAAUCAAUCACCUUCUGUGCAAACCAAACUGUCCCAAAAUUCUUUUGUGAAAGUGUCACAUGCCAGUUCAGGGCGUCCACCAACAGAAACAUCUAGCUUAGAGACUGAAGCCACCCAAGCCAAAAAGAAUGUAUUAGCUUCUAGUUUAAACUCAGCUUCUCCUCCAUUUUAUCCUUCAGGAUCCUCCAAUAACUUGGCACGAAAGGAUUUACAAUCUGGCAUUGGUAGACUGCACAUUGAUCAAAACCCUACGCCGUCUGGAAAGAAGUUUGGGAAUACAAAAUCCAGCUCUUCGUGGGUGUGCACUACUCAACCUUCUCAGAUUACAAGCCAUGGUAGAGAUGCACCUCCUCCUGGGAAAAUGCUUUACCAGCAAUCUCCUAAUCAAGGUGGCAAAGUUUCUUCACUGAUGCACAUCCAGGGAAUGCCAAAAGAGACUGACCAAAGAUGUACUCAACCUCCUGGUCAGGCUUUUGAUCAACAUUCUGCUGUUAACAGUUUGCUACCUUCUUCUCCACCAAAACCCGGCUCAUCAGAAAAACAGUAUAUUUCUGGUGAAAUAGAGUCAGCCGCAGAAACAGGUUCUUUGGUUGGCAAGGGGAAAGGGUCAUUCCAGCCUAAUGGAAGAGGAUCUUUUAUAUAUGGAGGGACACAGUUUAUUAGGCCUGCUGGGAGCAUGGCAGCUGGUCAUGGCAAUCCAAAUUUUCCCGCAUUUCUGCCUGUUAUGCAAUUCGGUGUUCAGCAUGGUAGGCUUCCGACCUUUGGAAUGGCUCUUCCAGGAUAUGUCCAACCAGAACAUGGUAUCGGAAAUCCUGAGAUGACAUGGCUACCAAUUUUGCCUGGCCCCGGAGCAUUAGGAGGUUCAUAUUAUCCACCUUAUGCUGCUACUGAUGGUUCUUACCAAGCACACACACCGGGGUUACCUUCCUCUGCUGGAUCCUCCAGCCAAGAGACCAGUUCUGAUAACCCUAAUGAUGAAGAACCCAUGGAGGGACCUGAGGUUACAAACAAUGGAAAUUCACAACCACCGAAUGGCAACCCAAACAAGCAGCCUCGCAGAUACUCGGAGAUGAGCUUUAGCAAGUGAGUGCAAAGGGAGAUCCUCUUGUUUGAAUAAGUGGAGAAAGGAGGUGCGAGAGAAGCUCCUUUGUUGCGUGCUUUCUCACUUUGAGCUGCAAUUGUUGCCUAUCGUAUUAGGAGGUUGUUGUGCAAUUAUAAAGAGAGUUAAUGUGAGAGCUUGAGCUGUGGGCAUCGUUCAUCUGUAACUUAUUAUUUUUUUGUCCUUUGGUGUUCUUUAUUUAUUUUAUAAUUGAUAAUUUGUAAUGUUGUUGAUAUGUGUUAAUGGUUUUGGUCUUUCAACUUUAUCAAGCAAGGUUUGUAUCUGUGCCCUA